CUACGGGGUGCACCAGGCGCGCAACCUUUACAAUGCACUAACGUGUGAUAAGGGGACUCCAAGUGCUUAUGCUCAGCAUAGGCUUUUGCCAAGAGUGAAGACCUUGGCGAAUAAGCGGUGGGUAAGACUGGUGCCAGCAGCCGCGGUAACACCAGCGCCGCUAGUGGGGAUCGGUUUUAUUGGGCCUAAAGCAUCCGUAGCUGGCCUAACAAGUCUUUUGUGAAAUCGAGGAGCUUAACUCAUCGGAAUGCGGAAGAUACUGUUAGGCUUGGGACUGGGAGGAGUGAGAGGAAUUUCGUGGGAAGCGGUAAAAUGCUAUAAUCCUCGAAAGACCACCGAUGGCGAAGGCAUCUCACCAGAACAGAUCCGACAGUGAGGGAUGAAAGCUAGGGGAGCAAACCGGAUUAGAUACCCCGGUAGUC
Molecule: ribosomal RNA, 422 nt
Filed under: uncultured archaeon
Lineage: Archaea
Description: partial 16S ribosomal RNA
Rfam family: Archaeal small subunit ribosomal RNA
Source: RNAcentral